UACGUAGGGUGCAAGCGUUGUCCGGAAUUAUUGGGCGUAAAGAGCUCGUGGGCGGUUUGUCGCGUCGAAUGUGAAAACCCGGGGCUCAACCCCGGGCCUGCAUUCGAUACGGGCAGACUAGAGUUCGGUAGGGGAGUCUGGAAUUCCUGGUGUAGCGGUGAAAUGCGCAGAUAUCAGGAGGAACACCGGUGGCGAAGGCGGGACUCUGGGCCGAUACUGACGCUGAGGAGCGAAAGCGUGGGGAGCAAACAGG
RNAcentral lists this ribosomal RNA (253 nucleotides) under uncultured bacterium. RNAcentral's name for it is "partial 16S ribosomal RNA". It matches the Rfam family "Bacterial small subunit ribosomal RNA", at positions 524 to 776 of the family's 1533-position model. The record is from RNAcentral.